This 253-nucleotide ribosomal RNA is filed under the name uncultured bacterium. RNAcentral's name for it is "partial 16S ribosomal RNA". It matches the Rfam family "Bacterial small subunit ribosomal RNA", at positions 524 to 776 of the family's 1533-position model. The record is from RNAcentral.
UACGGGGGGGGCAAGCGUUGUUCGGAAUUACUGGGCGUAAAGGGCUCGUAGGUGGCCAACUAAGUCAGACGUGAAAUCCCUCGGCUUAACCGGGGAACUGCGUCUGAUACUGGAUGGCUUGAGUUCGGGAGAGGGAUGCGGAAUUCCAGGUGUAGCGGUGAAAUGCGUAGAUAUCUGGAGGAACACCGGUGGCGAAGGCGGCAUCCUGGACCGACACUGACACUGAGGAGCGAAAGCCAGGGGAGCAAACGGA